This 465-nucleotide ribosomal RNA is filed under the name Vreelandella stevensii. Its description in RNAcentral is "partial 16S ribosomal RNA". It matches the Rfam family "Bacterial small subunit ribosomal RNA", at positions 338 to 795 of the family's 1533-position model. The record is from RNAcentral. Lineage: Bacteria; Pseudomonadati; Pseudomonadota; Gammaproteobacteria; Oceanospirillales; Halomonadaceae.
CCUACGGGGGGCUGCAGUGGGGAAUAUUGGACAAUGGGGGCAACCCUGAUCCAGCCAUACCGCGUGUGUGAAGAAGGCCCUCGGGUUGUAAAGCACUUUCAGUGAGGAAGAACGCCUGGUGGUUAAUACCCAUCAGGAAAGACAUCACUCACAGAAGAAGCACCGGCUAACUCCGUGCCAGCAGCCGCGGUAAUACGGAGGGUGCGAGCGUUAAUCGGAAUUACUGGGCGUAAAGCGCGCGUAGGUGGCUUGAUAAGCCGGUUGUGAAAGCCCCGGGCUCAACCUGGGAACGGCAUCCGGAACUGUCAAGCUAGAGUGCAGGAGAGGAAGGUAGAAUUCCCGGUGUAGCGGUGAAAUGCGUAGAGAUCGGGAGGAAUACCAGUGGCGAAGGCGGCCUUCUGGACUGACACUGACACUGAGGUGCGAAAGCGUGGGUAGCAAACAGGAUUAGAUACCCCUGUAGUC